RNAcentral lists this ribosomal RNA (497 nucleotides) under uncultured bacterium. RNAcentral's name for it is "partial 16S ribosomal RNA". It matches the Rfam family "Bacterial small subunit ribosomal RNA", at positions 28 to 507 of the family's 1533-position model. The record is from RNAcentral.
GACGAACGCUGGCGGCGUGCCUAAUACAUGCAAGUAGAACGCUGAAGAGAGGAGCUUGCUCUUCUUGGAUGAGUUGCGAACGGGUGAGUAACGCGUAGGUAACCUGCCUUGUAGCGGGGGAUAACUAUUGGAAACGAUAGCUAAUACCGCAUAACAAUGGAUGACACAUGUCAUUUAUUUGAAAGGGGCAAUUGCUCCACUACAAGAUGGACCUGCGUUGUAUUAGCUAGUAGGUGAGGUAAUGGCUCACCUAGGCGACGAUACAUAGCCGACCUGAGAGGGUGAUCGGCCACCCUGGGCCUGAGACACGGCCCAGACUCCUACGGGAGGCAGCAGUAGGGAAUCUUCGGCAAUGGGGGCAACCCUGACCGAGCAACGCCGCGUGAGUGAAGAAGGUUUUCGGAUCGUAAAGCUCUGUUGUAAGUCAAGAACGGGUGUGAGAGUGGAAAGUUCACACUGUGACGGUAGCUUACCAGAAAGGGACGGCUAACUACGUG